RNAcentral lists this unclassified non-coding RNA (21 nucleotides) under Chlamydomonas reinhardtii. RNAcentral describes it as "small RNA Cre_0139". Lineage: Eukaryota; Viridiplantae; Chlorophyta; Chlorophyceae; Chlamydomonadales; Chlamydomonadaceae. The record is from RNAcentral.
AAGGUGGCCCGCAAAGUGCUC